ACCUGGUUAGCUCAGUUGGUAAAGCGCUCUACUGGAAAUAGAGCGGUUCUUGGUUCGAUACCUGGACCAGGCG
This 73-nucleotide transfer RNA is filed under the name Ixodes scapularis (black-legged tick). It matches the Rfam family "tRNA". From Rfam's summary of the family: Transfer RNA (tRNA) molecules are approximately 80 nucleotides in length. Their secondary structure includes four short double-helical elements and three loops (D, anti-codon, and T loops). Lineage: Eukaryota; Metazoa; Arthropoda; Arachnida; Ixodida; Ixodidae. The record is from Rfam by way of RNAcentral.